AACUGCCAAAAUUGGCAGCAGCUGCUGCUGCUAGUGUGCCCGUCAGUCAGAUUGAGAGGUUAUGAGGUGAAUUUUCAGAACUGAUCAUUUUGACUGAGUGUUUGUGAAAUUGUGAUAUAGGGGAAGAAAGGAAGAGAAUCAAGUGAGGGUGGUGACAUAUGAUCAGCAGCUAAACACUGGAGAAACAUUCUGGAGGGUACACAAUAGAUCUUAUUAAUGUCUUUAUCUAGAUAGUUGCCAGUCUGAGAAAAGGGAGAGAUGAUUUCAGUCCCUGGACAAUCUGGACUCCAUCCAGAAAAAAAAAUUCUACUGCAGUAACACGUCCUGACUUGGAUCAAACAACAACGAGAUCUCGUCUUCUGUAAAGAAGGGAACAGCAUCAAUCCUCAGAAGCUCUACUGCUGUUUUAUACAUCAUGAGUGGAAUAACUAUGCUUACACAGUAAUAUGCUGGAAGAUUGUGCAAUUAUAUAUAAAUUCUUAAUCAGCGUGGAAAAGAAAUUAAUGGACGUUAUAUGCCCGACAUGUACCUUAAGCUAUCAGAAGACUGUAUUGAUGUGUAUAAUGAAUGAAGCAACACAGGAUUUUGCCUGGAGUCCUACAGGAUAAUCACAUUAAAUCAACAUUUAACAGUUUAUUUCAGUAAGUUAAAUGUUUUCAAAACAAAUUUAAGUUGUUAUUAAACCAGUUCAGUUACAAUAUCUAUUCACUAUUCACAAAUGUUUGUUA
This is a non-coding RNA of Pelodiscus sinensis (Chinese soft-shelled turtle), 728 nucleotides long. The record is from RefSeq and is a predicted model, not a curated record. NCBI's taxonomy places the organism in Eukaryota, Metazoa, Chordata, Testudines, Trionychidae.